This 465-nucleotide ribosomal RNA is filed under the name Vreelandella stevensii. RNAcentral's name for it is "partial 16S ribosomal RNA". It matches the Rfam family "Bacterial small subunit ribosomal RNA", at positions 338 to 795 of the family's 1533-position model. Lineage: Bacteria; Pseudomonadati; Pseudomonadota; Gammaproteobacteria; Oceanospirillales; Halomonadaceae. The record is from RNAcentral.
CCUACAGGAGGCUGCAGUGGGGAAUAUUGGACAAUGGGGGGAACCCUGAUCCAGCCAUGCCGCGUGUGUGAAGAAGGCCCUCGGGUUGUAAAGCACUUUCAGUGAGGAAGAACGCCUGGUGGUUAAUACCCAUCAGGAAAGACAUCACUCACAGAAGAAGCACCGGCUAACUCCGUGCCAGCAGCCGCGGUAAUACGGAGGGGGCGAGCGUUAAUCGGAAUUACUGGGCGUAAAGGGCGCGUAGGUGGCUUGAUAAGCCGGUUGUGAAAGCCCCGGGCUCAACCUGGGAACGGCAUCCGGAACUGUCAAGCUAGAGUGCAGGAGAGGAAGGUAGAAUUGCCGGUGUAGAGGUGAAAUGCGUAGAGAUCGGGAGGAAUACCAGUGGCGAAGGCGGCCUUCUGGACUGACACUGACACUGAGGUGCGAAAGCGUGGGUAGCAAACAGGAUUAGAUACCCCUGUAGUC